Molecule: ribosomal RNA, 496 nt
Filed under: uncultured bacterium
Lineage: Bacteria
Description: partial 16S ribosomal RNA
Rfam family: Bacterial small subunit ribosomal RNA
Source: RNAcentral
GAUGAACGCUGGCGGCGUGCCUAAUACAUGCAAGUCGAGCGAACAGACGAGGAGCUUGCUCCUCUGACGUUAGCGGCGGACGGGUGAGUAACACGUGGAUAACCUACCUAUAAGACUGGGAUAACUUCGGGAAACCGGAGCUAGUACCGGAUAAUAUAUUGAACCGCAUGGUUCAAUAGUGAAAGACGGUUUUGCUGUCACUUAUAGAUGGAUCCGCGCCGCAUUAGCUAGUUGGUAAGGUAACGGCUUACCAAGGCAACGAUGCGUAGCCGACCUGAGAGGGUGAUCGGCCACACUGGAACUGAGACACGGUCCAGACUCCUACGGGAGGCAGCAGUAGGGAAUCUUCCGCAAUGGGCGAAAGCCUGACGGAGCAACGCCGCGUGAGUGAUGAAGGUCUUCGGAUCGUAAAACUCUGUUAUUAGGGAAGAACAAAUGUGUAAGUAACUAUGCACGUCUUGACGGUACCUAAUCAGAAAGCCACGGCUAACUACGU